This 253-nucleotide ribosomal RNA is filed under the name uncultured bacterium. RNAcentral describes it as "partial 16S ribosomal RNA". It matches the Rfam family "Bacterial small subunit ribosomal RNA", at positions 524 to 776 of the family's 1533-position model. The record is from RNAcentral.
UACGUAGGGUGCGAGCGUUAAUCGGAAUUACUGGGCGUAAAGCGUGCGCAGGCGGUUCGUUGUGUCCGGCGUGAAAGCCCCGGGCUUAACCUGGGAACUGCGAUGGAAACUAGCGAGCUGGAGUGUGGCAGAGGGGGGUGGAAUUCCGCGUGUAGCAGUGAAAUGCGUAGAGAUGCGGAGGAACACCGAUGGCGAAGGCAGCCCCCUGGGCUAACACUGACGCUCAGGCACGAAAGCGUGGGGAGCAAACAGG